This 239-nucleotide unclassified non-coding RNA is filed under the name Hevea brasiliensis (rubber tree). Lineage: Eukaryota; Viridiplantae; Streptophyta; Magnoliopsida; Malpighiales; Euphorbiaceae. The record is from RNAcentral.
GUUUUUAGAUCCCGGAAGUCAGGCAGGCUGGUCUAUUUCAAUUAUAACUUGGUCUUGGUAACAAUAUUUCAACUGUAAUUUAAUGGGCUCAAGCUUCCAGAACUUGAAUUUUACUGCCAAUUAUUCAUUAAAUGUAUUCAAAAUUUUGGGAAAGUCGUUUCAAGAUGGAAAAAUUGGAGCUGAAGAUAGUGCAGAUACCGUUCUUCGAUUGGAUUCUACUGGAUCUUCAGUCCCCUGUG